CAUUGUUUGACAUGAGUCGUGAGACAGAAGUUAGUCUACAGCUCUACAGUAUGAAAGUUAUUAUCAUGUCCAAAUCCAACACAAUACUUCCAAAAUGGCUCAGAUUUAUGAAAGGAGUUGUUGACAGUGAAGACAUUCCACUCAAUUUAAGCAGAGAGUUGUUACAAGACAGUGGAUUGAUCAAGACAAGAGAAAGUCGGGUGUAGACAGAAGUAAUAGUACCACACCUACAAAGUCAGAUAUUAUAUCCUCGAUUAAAGAUACUUCAUUUGGACAAGAGAAAGUCUGGUGUAGACAGGAGCAAUAGUACCACACCUACAAAGUCAGAUAUUAUAUCCUCGAUUAAAGAUACUUCAUAAGG
Long non-coding RNA from Ruditapes philippinarum (Manila clam), 361 nucleotides. RefSeq lists it as uncharacterized. The transcript has 4 exons. The record is from RefSeq and is a predicted model, not a curated record. Lineage: Eukaryota; Metazoa; Mollusca; Bivalvia; Venerida; Veneridae.